CAAAGUUAUUUUCAAGGCUUUAGCCUUGAGGGGUCCAACCAUAACAAAGUGAGAAGAGAAAGGGAGAAAGAAAGAAAGGAAAAAGGGAGGAAAAAAAGAAAAAAGAAAGGAAGGAUCGGCUUAGUGAACCCGAGACAAGGAAGCAAGAAUCUACAAGGAUUCAAGGGACCCAAGGCAUGCAUGUAGGUAGAUCUUGGUAAGCAUGGUGAUUUUGUAGCUAAAUAAGCAAUGGCAAAGGUGACCUUAGAUGUGAGGAAGUUGUGAAUCAUUUUUGGAAAUUCAAGUUUAAACCGAGAGGGAGAAAAUAAGUUAAAAAAGUUUGCUGUGGUGGCGUGUCGGAGGAGGCAACAAGAGAUCAACAAGUAGAAAUUAGCUAGAUACGCACUUCAAUUAAUAGUGACGUAGCGUCCUGCUAUUGUGAGAUAAGUAAUCGAUUCAAGUGCAUUGCUCAACACAUAGAGACUAGUUGCAACGUAAGUAAUGGCAUCUCUUAGACUUCCACUUAGAGUCGCUUUGCUACCUAGAGAUCGUGUUGUGUCAAAUAGUUAGACUUAUAAUGAUUAAUAGCUUAUUAGAAAUGUAUUUGCUAAAACUUGAUGUUGUGUAAUGAUUAGCACUUAUUAUAUUGAAAUUACU
Long non-coding RNA from Theobroma umbraticum, 636 nucleotides. RefSeq lists it as uncharacterized. The record is from RefSeq and is a predicted model, not a curated record. Lineage: Eukaryota; Viridiplantae; Streptophyta; Magnoliopsida; Malvales; Malvaceae.